AUUGAACGCUGGCGGCAUGCCUUACACAUGCAAGUCGAACGGCAGCGCGGGGCAACCUGGCGGCGAGUGGCGAACGGGUGAGUAAUAUAUCGGAACGUGCCCUGGAGUGGGGAUAACGUAGCGAAAGUUACGCUAAUACCGCAUACGAUCCAAGGAUGAAAGCAGGGGACCUUCGGGCCUUGUGCUCCUGGAGCGGCCGAUAUCUGAUUAGCUAGUUGGUGGGGUAAAAGCCUACCAAGGCGACGAUCAGUAGCUGGUCUGAGAGGACGACCAAGCCACACUGGAACCGAGACACGGUCCAGACUCCUACGGGAGGCAGCAGUGGGGAAUUUUGGACAAUGGGGCGAACCCUGAUCCAGCAAUGCCGCGUGUGUGAAGAA
RNAcentral lists this ribosomal RNA (380 nucleotides) under uncultured bacterium. RNAcentral describes it as "bacterial SSU rRNA". It matches the Rfam family "Bacterial small subunit ribosomal RNA", at positions 30 to 412 of the family's 1533-position model. The record is from RNAcentral.